This 472-nucleotide long non-coding RNA is filed under the name Monodelphis domestica (gray short-tailed opossum). RNAcentral describes it as "lncRNA (ENSMODG00000032327.2)". The record is from RNAcentral. Lineage: Eukaryota; Metazoa; Chordata; Mammalia; Didelphimorphia; Didelphidae.
CUCCUAUUGAAUCAAAGUCCCCUCCCAAGUAGCCCAGCCCUUGGGUGGACCCUUCCCUUUUGUAUCCAUUGUAAAGCAUCAGCCUCUCCUGGAGGAUCCUGUUUUGGACUUUUCAUUUCCUUGUAGCCAUGAAGUCCAAAAUUAAUUAGAAAUGAAUUUUUGGUCAUUUUGAGGGAAAGGUCUGAUCCUUUUACAAGUGAAUUUACUUAUUGAUGCAACCUAUUUUUUUUACAUCAAGAAUAUCCUCUCCCAGAGAAGGUGGCACUUCUAGACUAAGCUUUGGUGUCUUGCAUUCUUGCAAAAGGUAUCCUUCCCAAACCCCAGGGGUGCACUUCUUCACCCCCAUAACAGGAAGCAGUCCAAUUCAUCUAACUGACUUUUAAGAUACUACCUAGGCAUACAGGUAACUAGUAUAAGACUUCUUAAAAAUAUGAGUAUCAUGAAAUAUUUAAGAACUAAUACCAUCUGUUAU